CACAGUACUGACAAAUUGACAAGUUUGACCAUCUUUACGGUGUUAUUUUGAAACGCUGUGAGAUUAAUAGAAAAGCGUCGGCUUACGCUAUGUUAUGCGAAUGUAGUUAAAUGCCCCUAUUCAGCGUAACACGCAGCCUCGUUACAA
This 147-nucleotide small nucleolar RNA is filed under the name Drosophila grimshawi. Its description in RNAcentral is "snoRNA:GH25805". Lineage: Eukaryota; Metazoa; Arthropoda; Insecta; Diptera; Drosophilidae. The record is from RNAcentral.